RNAcentral lists this non-coding RNA (116 nucleotides) under human gut metagenome. RNAcentral's name for it is "SAM riboswitch (S box leader)". It matches the Rfam family "SAM riboswitch aptamer (S box leader)". Rfam says of the family: The SAM riboswitch is found upstream of a number of genes which code for proteins involved in methionine or cysteine biosynthesis in Gram-positive bacteria. The SAM riboswitch acts at the level of transcription termination control. RNAcentral also lists the same sequence under 1 other name. The record is from RNAcentral.
CUUAUCACGAGUGGUGGAGGGAUGGGCCCGAUGAAACCCGGCAACCGGCGCGGCGCGCUUGGUGCCAAAUCCCACAGCGCGGCACACACCCCGCAAGGUCGGCGCUGACAGAUAAG